This 490-nucleotide ribosomal RNA is filed under the name uncultured bacterium. Its description in RNAcentral is "partial 16S ribosomal RNA". It matches the Rfam family "Bacterial small subunit ribosomal RNA", at positions 28 to 507 of the family's 1533-position model. The record is from RNAcentral.
GAUGAACGCUAGCGAUAGGCUUAACACAUGCAAGUCGAGGGGCAGCAUGGUCUUAGCUUGCUAAGACUGAUGGCGACCGGCGCACGGGUGCGUAACGCGUAUGCAACUUGCCUCACAGAGGGGGAUAACCCGUCGAAAGACGGACUAAUACCGCGUACACUCCAUCUUGGGCAUCCAAGGUAGAGGAAAUGAAAUUCGCUGUGAGAUAGGCAUGCGUCCCAUUAGCUAGUUGGUGAGGUAACGGCUCACCAAGGCGACGGUGGGUAGGGGAACUGAGAGGUUGAACCCCCACACUGGUACUGAGACACGGACCAGACUACUACGGGAGGCAGCAGUGAGGAAUAUUGGUCAAUGGGCGAGAGCCUGAACCAGCCAAGUCGCGUGAAGGAUGACUGUCUUAUGGAUUGUAAACUUCUUUUAUACGGGAAUAACAAGAGUCACGUGUGACUCCCUGCAUGUACCGUAUGAAUAAGCAUCGGCUAACUCCGUG